RNAcentral lists this ribosomal RNA (466 nucleotides) under uncultured bacterium. RNAcentral's name for it is "partial 16S ribosomal RNA". It matches the Rfam family "Bacterial small subunit ribosomal RNA", at positions 28 to 507 of the family's 1533-position model. The record is from RNAcentral.
GAUGAACGCUGGCGGCGUGCUUAACACAUGCUAGUCGAACGAUGAAGCCCAGCUUGCUGGGUGGAUUAGUGGCGAACGGGUGAGUAACACGUGAGUAACCUGCCCUUAACUCUGGGAUAAGCCUGGGAAACUGGGUCUAAUACCGGAUAGGAGCGUCCACCGCAUGGUGGGUGUUGGAAAGAUUUAUCGGUUUUGGAUGGACUCGCGGCCUAUCAGCUUGUUGGUGAGGUAAUGGCUCACCAAGGCGACGACGGGUAGCCGGCCUGAGAGGGUGACCGGCCACACUGGGACUGAGACACGGCCCAGACUCCUACGGGAGGCAGCAGUGGGGAAUAUUGCACAAUGGGCGCAAGCCUGAUGCAGCGACGCCGCGUGAGGGAUGACGGCCUUCGGGUUGUAAACCUCUUUCAGUAGGGAAGAAGCGAAAGUGACGGUACCUGCAGAAGAAGCACCGGCUAACUACGUG